ACUCCUACGGGAGGCAGCAGUGGGGAAUAUUGCACAAUGGGGGAAACCCUGAUGCAGCCAUGCCGCGUGUGUGAAGAAGGCCUUCGGGUUGUAAAGCACUUUCAGUAGGGAGGAAGGUAGUGUAGUUAACACCUGCUAUUAUUUGUACGUUACCUACAGAAGAAGCACCGGCUAACUCCGUGCCAGCAGCCGCGGUAAGUACGGAGGGUGCGAGCGUUAAUACGGAAUUACGUGGGCGUAAAGCGCAUGCAGGCGGCCUGUUAAGUCAGAUGUGAAAGCCCGGGGUCUUAACCGUCGGAAUUGCAUUUGAAACUGGCGAGGCUAGAGUCUUGGUAGAGGGGUUAGAAUUUCGAGGUGUAGCGGUGAAAUGCGUAGAGAUCG
RNAcentral lists this ribosomal RNA (381 nucleotides) under uncultured bacterium. Its description in RNAcentral is "bacterial SSU rRNA". It matches the Rfam family "Bacterial small subunit ribosomal RNA", at positions 335 to 699 of the family's 1533-position model. The record is from RNAcentral.